Long non-coding RNA from Homarus americanus (American lobster), 430 nucleotides. RefSeq lists it as uncharacterized. The record is from RefSeq and is a predicted model, not a curated record. The transcript has 3 exons. NCBI's taxonomy places the organism in Eukaryota, Metazoa, Arthropoda, Malacostraca, Decapoda, Nephropidae.
CCGGUGAUUAGCCACAAGACAGCAGUGCACGCAGAGUCACCAAAGCGGUAGGUGCUGCCGGUUGUCUCUCUCAUUUGCCGGACGCUGCUCUUUAAAUGUACAGAUGAUGACUUGAUGAUGGAGGAUCCAACAAAUAACCCAGGAGUUUUCUCCUGGUGAAAUGACCCAUGCUGCACUGCACUACACCAGUCCAGAAAUGUUAUUCUGAACAUUGUGGUGACUGCCCCCGUGCUGGCCGCUGCCCCUGGACUGCCCCCGUGCUGGCCGCUGCCCCUGGACUGCCCCCGUGCUGGCCGCUGCCCCUGGACUGCCCCCGUGCUGGCCGCUGCCCCUGGACUGCCCCCGUGCUGGCCGCUGCCCCUGGACUGCCCUGUGCUGAAGAAAAAUUUUUAAUACCAUUAAGUUUACAUUAAUAAAUGUUUGAAUGUCA